GACGAACGCUGGCGGCGUGCUUAACACAUGCAAGUCGAACGGAAAGGCCCUGCUUUUGUGGGGUGCUCGAGUGGCGAACGGGUGAGUAACACGUGAGUAACCUGCCCUUGACUUUGGGAUAACUUCAGGAAACUGGGGCUAAUACCGGAUAGGAGCUCCUGCUGCAUGGUGGGGGUUGGAAAGUUUCGGCGGUUGGGGAUGGACUCGCGGCUUAUCAGCUUGUUGGUGGGGUAGUGGCUUACCAAGGCUUUGACGGGUAGCCGGCCUGAGAGGGUGACCGGCCACAUUGGGACUGAGAUACGGCCCAGACUCCUACGGGAGGCAGCAGUGGGGAAUAUUGCACAAUGGGCGGAAGCCUGAUGCAGCAACGCCGCGUGCGGGAUGACGGCCUUCGGGUUGUAAACCGCUUUCGCUUGUGACGAAGAGUGAGUGACGGUAAUGGGUAAAGAAGCACCGGCUAACUACG
RNAcentral lists this ribosomal RNA (466 nucleotides) under uncultured bacterium. Its description in RNAcentral is "partial 16S ribosomal RNA". It matches the Rfam family "Bacterial small subunit ribosomal RNA", at positions 28 to 505 of the family's 1533-position model. The record is from RNAcentral.